Molecule: ribosomal RNA, 1538 nt
Filed under: Enterobacter hormaechei
Lineage: Bacteria; Pseudomonadati; Pseudomonadota; Gammaproteobacteria; Enterobacterales; Enterobacteriaceae
Description: bacterial SSU rRNA
Rfam family: Bacterial small subunit ribosomal RNA
Source: RNAcentral
UUGAAGAGUUUGAUCAUGGCUCAGAUUGAACGCUGGCGGCAGGCCUAACACAUGCAAGUCGAACGGUAACAGGAAGCAGCUUGCUGCUUUGCUGACGAGUGGCGGACGGGUGAGUAAUGUCUGGGAAACUGCCUGAUGGAGGGGGAUAACUACUGGAAACGGUAGCUAAUACCGCAUAAUGUCGCAAGACCAAAGAGGGGGACCUUCGGGCCUCUUGCCAUCGGAUGUGCCCAGAUGGGAUUAGCUAGUAGGUGGGGUAACGGCUCACCUAGGCGACGAUCCCUAGCUGGUCUGAGAGGAUGACCAGCCACACUGGAACUGAGACACGGUCCAGACUCCUACGGGAGGCAGCAGUGGGGAAUAUUGCACAAUGGGCGCAAGCCUGAUGCAGCCAUGCCGCGUGUAUGAAGAAGGCCUUCGGGUUGUAAAGUACUUUCAGCGGGGAGGAAGGCGAUAAGGUUAAUAACCUUGUCGAUUGACGUUACCCGCAGAAGAAGCACCGGCUAACUCCGUGCCAGCAGCCGCGGUAAUACGGAGGGUGCAAGCGUUAAUCGGAAUUACUGGGCGUAAAGCGCACGCAGGCGGUCUGUCAAGUCGGAUGUGAAAUCCCCGGGCUCAACCUGGGAACUGCAUUCGAAACUGGCAGGCUAGAGUCUUGUAGAGGGGGGUAGAAUUCCAGGUGUAGCGGUGAAAUGCGUAGAGAUCUGGAGGAAUACCGGUGGCGAAGGCGGCCCCCUGGACAAAGACUGACGCUCAGGUGCGAAAGCGUGGGGAGCAAACAGGAUUAGAUACCCUGGUAGUCCACGCCGUAAACGAUGUCGACUUGGAGGUUGUGCCCUUGAGGCGUGGCUUCCGGAGCUAACGCGUUAAGUCGACCGCCUGGGGAGUACGGCCGCAAGGUUAAAACUCAAAUGAAUUGACGGGGGCCCGCACAAGCGGUGGAGCAUGUGGUUUAAUUCGAUGCAACGCGAAGAACCUUACCUACUCUUGACAUCCAGAGAACUUUCCAGAGAUGGAUUGGUGCCUUCGGGAACUCUGAGACAGGUGCUGCAUGGCUGUCGUCAGCUCGUGUUGUGAAAUGUUGGGUUAAGUCCCGCAACGAGCGCAACCCUUAUCCUUUGUUGCCAGCGGUCCGGCCGGGAACUCAAAGGAGACUGCCAGUGAUAAACUGGAGGAAGGUGGGGAUGACGUCAAGUCAUCAUGGCCCUUACGAGUAGGGCUACACACGUGCUACAAUGGCGCAUACAAAGAGAAGCGACCUCGCGAGAGCAAGCGGACCUCAUAAAGUGCGUCGUAGUCCGGAUUGGAGUCUGCAACUCGACUCCAUGAAGUCGGAAUCGCUAGUAAUCGUGGAUCAGAAUGCCACGGUGAAUACGUUCCCGGGCCUUGUACACACCGCCCGUCACACCAUGGGAGUGGGUUGCAAAAGAAGUAGGUAGCUUAACCUUCGGGAGGGCGCUUACCACUUUGUGAUUCAUGACUGGGGUGAAGUCGUAACAAGGUAACCGUAGGGGAACCUGCGGUUGGAUCACCUCCUU